RNAcentral lists this ribosomal RNA (767 nucleotides) under Helix figulina. RNAcentral's name for it is "partial large subunit ribosomal RNA". The record is from RNAcentral. Lineage: Eukaryota; Metazoa; Mollusca; Gastropoda; Stylommatophora; Helicidae.
CGAAUAGAAGUGAGCUAAACAUGUAUACAUUUAGUGUAUAACACGUUGCAUAGUGUAAGUAAUACAUGUUUAGGGGUGAUAGGCCUUUCAAACUUUUUGAUAACUUGUUGCACAUGAAACGUAUUGAGUACAUAGACAUACUUAAAAAGUUAAGCUUUUAAGUGUUUAUUAAAAAUAUUAGACAUUUUUAAUACAGAAUAAUUCCUGGUUAUAAAAUACUCUCACAUUAAGUUUAUAUUUUUAUAUUUAUUAGUGUGCCAGUUUAUUUUAUUAUUUUAUUUGAUAAUGUUAAUAUUAGUAGUAUUAAUAAGUACAUUUAAGGAACUCGGCAAUUUUACCAUUCAACUGUUUACCAAAAACAUAGCUACUUGAGUUAAUAAGUAGUUAUUUCUGCUCCAUGAUAAUUAAAUAGCCGCAGUACCCUGACUGUGCAAAGGUAGCAUAAUCAGUUGGCUCUUAAUUAGAGUCUGGAAUGAAUGAAAACAUGGAUGGUGACUAUCUAAGUGUAUUUUUUGAACUUAAUAAAUAAGUGAAAAUACUUAUGUUAAUAUAAUAGACGAGAAGACCCUAGAAACUUGAAUUGAUUUUUGUUGGGGCGACAAAAUUACAUUUAACUAAUUUUUUUAAACGCGACGUAAAAACGAAAGAAUAAGUUACUCUAGGGAUAACAGCAUAAUUUUUAUAGUUUGUGACCUCGAUGUUGGACUAGGUAUUACAUCCUUUAGAUAAGGAUGUAAGGUGCUCUGUUCGAGCAAAUACACCUACAU